This 428-nucleotide ribosomal RNA is filed under the name uncultured bacterium. RNAcentral's name for it is "bacterial SSU rRNA". It matches the Rfam family "Bacterial small subunit ribosomal RNA", at positions 355 to 775 of the family's 1533-position model. The record is from RNAcentral.
UGGGGAAUUUUGGACAAUGGGCGAAAGCCUGAUCCAGCAAUGCCGCGUGUGUGAAGAAGGCCUUCGGGUUGUAAAGCACUUUUGUCCGGAAAGAAAUCCUUGGUCCUAAUAUGGCCGGGGGAUGACGGUACCGGAAGAAUAAGCACCGGCUAACUACGUGCCAGCAGCCGCGGUAAUACGUAGGGUGCAAGCGUUAAUCGGAAUUACUGGGCGUAAAGCGUGCGCAGGCGGUGAUGUAAGACCGAUGUGAAAUCCCCGGGCCCAACCUGGGAACUGCAUUGGUGACUGCAUCGCUUGAGUAUGGCAGGGGGGGGUAGAAUUCCACGUGUAGCAGUGAAAUGCGUAGAGAUGUGGAGGAAUACCGAUGGCGAAGGCAGCCACCUGAGUCAAUACUGACGCUCAUGCACGAAAGCGUGGGGAGCAAACAG